Molecule: ribosomal RNA, 497 nt
Filed under: uncultured bacterium
Lineage: Bacteria
Description: partial 16S ribosomal RNA
Rfam family: Bacterial small subunit ribosomal RNA
Source: RNAcentral
GAUGAACGCUGGCGGCGUGCCUAAUACAUGCAAGUCGAGCGAACAGACGAGGGUCUUGCUCCUCUUACGUUAGCGGCGGACGGGUGAGUAACACGUGUAUAACCUACCUAUAAGACUGGGAUAACUUCGUGAAACCGUAGCUAAUACCGGAUAAUAUAUUGAAGCGCAUGGUUCAAUAGUGAAAGACGGUUUUGCUUUCACUUAUAGAUUGAUCCGCGCCGCAUUAGCUAGUUGGUAAGGUAACGGCUUACCAAGGCAACGAUGAGUAGCCGACCUGAGAGGGUGAUCGGCCACACUGGAACUGAGACACGGUCCAGACUCCUACGGGAGGCAGCAGUAGGGAAUCUUCCGCAAUGGGGGAAAGCCUGACGGAGCAACGCCGCGUGAGUGAUGAAGGUCUUCGGAUCGUAAAGCUCUGUUAUUAGGGAAGAAAAAAUGUGUAAGUAACUAUGCACGUGUUGACGGUACCUAAUCAGAAAGCAACGGCUAACUACGUG